GUGAGAGGAUAGGGAUUUAAAGAAGACAUGAGAGGCAAAUUUUUUUUACACAGCGAGUGGUUCGUGUGUGGAAUGAACUUCCUAAGGAAAUGGUAGGUGUGGGUACAAUAACAACGGUUAGAAGACAUUUGGAUAGUUAUGUGAAUAGGAAACAUUUGGAGGGAUAUGGCCAGGAGCAGGCAAGUGGGACUAGUUUAGUUUGGGAUUAUGUUUAGUGUGGAAUAGUUGGACCAAGUUUCACUGCUGUAUGACUAUGACCUCUGUGGUAAAAAGGUGAUCUCCAGUUUGCGAACAAUGCCCCCAGUUCUGGGCUCGUUCACAAGAGGAAAUGUCCUUUCUGUAUUCACCUUGUUACUACUGUUCAGGAACUUAAAUACUUAAUCAACUCACUCAUCUUCUAAAAUCUAGCAGAAAUCUAGUCUGUCCAACCUUUCCUCAUAAGACAAGUUGUUCGUUCAAAAUAUCAAUCUAGUAAACCCUUGAUGCACCUGAAGGUGCAUUUACAUACUUCCUUCUUAAAAUAAACUAACUGAGACUUUUUGUAAAGUAGUCAACCAAUCUGCAUUUUCUGUUGUACUGUUUUUGGGAAUAGGGAAGCAGUGGAAAACUGGAUUAUUAUGACUGGAUUUGAUUCUUAAGUGGGGCAUAUUGUAAAUCAUGUGUACUUGUAUUUUAAACAAUAUUAUUGUCUUGUCAAUUUAUUAUCUUGGAUAAAUUGCUAUUUCAAAAGGAGCAAAGUACAGUGUCGUGGGGUGAAGGGAGAAGAAUGGCAUUCAGAGAGUUGGUGCAGAUAUGAUGGGCAUCUUUCUGUAUUAUAAUAGUUCAUUCUUUGAGAUAACAAGAAGAAAAGUUGAAUCUACAAGAGAACUGAAUUGCUGUAAGAAGCGCAGAUGUGUAGGGUUACAGAUGUAUACGGUUAAUAUUGAGCUAGCAAGAUGCAGGCAUUCUCCUGCAUGGAGAAUGAUAUUCACAUUUUGAAUACCCUUCCCUUCUCAUAAGGUGUGUGAUUCAUUUUGUCCGUUCCUGUGACAAAGGAGCUAAUCAACCUGUUCUCGCAUCCUUGGAUGGCUUGAACUAGGUGUAGACAGCAGAGAGCAGAUCUCUGUAGUACAAUUCUCUUUUAAUUAUGCAAUUAAGUAAAAACUGUAUGCACAUUACCGAUUUAUUUACAUUUUAGGAAAAUAUGGCAUCAUCUGUAUUGAAGAUCUGAUCCAUGAGAUCUACACAGUAGGAAAGACCUUCAAAAUGGCCAACAAUUUCUUAUGGCCCUUCAAGCUAUCUUCACCACGUGGUGGCAUGAACAAAAAGACAACACACUUUGUUGAGGGUGGUGAUGCUGGUAACAGAGAAGACCAAAUCAACAGGAUGAUCAGAAAAAUGAACUAAAGGUAAACCACAGCUGUGAAAUUGCCAUCGUGUUCUGUUAAAUAAAGAAAUUAUUUACACAGUAA
Long non-coding RNA from Rhincodon typus (whale shark), 1451 nucleotides. RefSeq lists it as uncharacterized. The record is from RefSeq and is a predicted model, not a curated record. The transcript has 2 exons. NCBI's taxonomy places the organism in Eukaryota, Metazoa, Chordata, Chondrichthyes, Orectolobiformes, Rhincodontidae.